CAGUAGCCGCGGGAAUACGUAGGGUGCAAGCGUUAAUCGGAAUUACUGGGCGUAAAGCGUGCGCAGGCGGUUCUAUAAGACAGAUGUGAAAUCCCCGGGCUCAACCUGGGAACUGCAUUUGUGACUGUAGAGCUGGAGUACGGCAGAGGGGGAUGGAAUUCCGCGUGUAGCAGUGAAAUGCGUAGAUAUGCGGAGGAACACCGAUGGCGAAGGCAAUCCCCUGGGCCUGUACUGACGUUCAUGCACGAAAGCGUGGGGAGCAAACAGGAUUAGAUACCCCAGUAGUCCCUGUCUCUUAUAC
This 301-nucleotide ribosomal RNA is filed under the name uncultured bacterium. RNAcentral describes it as "partial 16S ribosomal RNA". It matches the Rfam family "Bacterial small subunit ribosomal RNA", at positions 509 to 807 of the family's 1533-position model. The record is from RNAcentral.